Non-coding RNA from Picea glauca (white spruce), 74 nucleotides. Lineage: Eukaryota; Viridiplantae; Streptophyta; Pinopsida; Pinales; Pinaceae. The record is from Rfam.
GGGCAUGUAACUCAGAGGAUUAGAGCACGUGGUUACGAACCACGGUGUCGAGGGUUCGAAUCCCUCCUCGCCCA